Molecule: transfer RNA, 68 nt
Filed under: Cornufer vitianus (Fiji ground frog)
Lineage: Eukaryota; Metazoa; Chordata; Amphibia; Anura; Ceratobatrachidae
Description: Platymantis vitianus (Fiji ground frog) tRNA-Pro
Rfam family: tRNA
About the family: Transfer RNA (tRNA) molecules are approximately 80 nucleotides in length.
Source: RNAcentral
CAGGAUGUAGUUUAAUGAGAAUGCCGGCUUUGGGGGUCGGAGGCGAGGUAUAGUUACCUUCAUCUUGA